GAAAUGCGAUAAGUAGUGUGAAUUGCAGAAUUCAGCGAAUCAUCGAAUCUUUGAACGCACAUUGCGCCCUUCGGUUAUUCCUUAGGGCAUGCCUGUUCGAGCGUCAUUUCAACCUUCAAGCCUGGCUUGGUGUUGGGCGCUGUCCCGCCCCCGCGCGCGGACUCGCCUCGAAUGAAUUGGCAGUCGCACCCUCCGAGCCGCGAGCGCAGCACAAGUCGCGCCCGCCGGCCCGCUGGGACGGACGCUCCACAAGACCCCCCCAAAGUCUUGACCUCGGAUCAGGUAGGGAUACCCGCUGAACUUAA
RNAcentral lists this unclassified non-coding RNA (305 nucleotides) under uncultured Pleosporales. RNAcentral's name for it is "sequence contains ITS1". The stretch from base 1 to 106 matches the Rfam family "5.8S ribosomal RNA", at positions 50 to 154 of the family's 154-position model. The record is from RNAcentral. Lineage: Eukaryota; Fungi; Ascomycota; Dothideomycetes; Pleosporales.